RNAcentral lists this ribosomal RNA (862 nucleotides) under uncultured bacterium. RNAcentral describes it as "bacterial SSU rRNA". It matches the Rfam family "Bacterial small subunit ribosomal RNA", at positions 62 to 949 of the family's 1533-position model. The record is from RNAcentral.
UCGAGCGGUUGUGCAAUACAACAGCGGCGGACGGGUGAGUAACACGUGGGCAACCUGGCCUUAAGAGGGGGAUAACGUUUCGAAAGGAACGCUAAUACCGCGUAACGCAGAGAGAUCACAUGAUCUCAUUGCAAAAGGAGAAAUCCGCUUAAGGAUGGGCCCGCGGCCUAUUAGCUAGUUGGUAAGGGUAAUGGCCUACCAAGGCGACGAUAGGUAGCCGACCUGAGAGGGUGAACGGCCACACUGGAACUGAGAACGGUCCAGACUCCUACGGGAGGCAGCAGUAGGGAAUAUUCCGCAAUGGGCGAAAGCCUGACGGAGCAACGCCGCGUGAGUGAAGAAGAUCUUCGGAUUGUAAAGCUCUGUCAACAGGGACGAUAAUGACGGUACCUGUGGAGGAAGCCACGGCAAACUACGUGCCAGCAGCCGCGGUAAUACGUAGGUGGCAAGCGUUGUCCGGAAUAACUGGGCGUAAAGCGCAUGUAGACGGCAUAGCAAGCCAAAUGUGAAAUUUAGGGGCUUAACCUCUAAACUGCGUUUGGAACUGCUGAGCUUGAGUGCAGGAGAGGCAAGUGGAAUUCCCAGUGUAGCAGUGAAAUGCGUAGAUAUUGGGAGGAACACCAGUGGCGAAGGCGACUUGCUGGACUGCAACUGACGUUGAGAUGCGAAAGCUAGGGGAGCAAACGGGAUUAGAUACCCCGGUAGUCCUAGCUGUAAACGAUGGAUACUAGGUGUGGGAGGUAUCGACCCCUUCCGUGCCGCAGCGAACGCAAUAAGUAUCCCGCCUGGGGAGUACGGUCGCAAGAUUGAAACUCAAAGGAAUUGACGGGGGCCCGCACAAGCAGUGGAGCAUGUGGUUUAA